GUGGCUUUUCUGUCCAACGUGCUGUGCUGUGUGUGCCUGCAGGUGGUUGGUGUUUCUGCAGUGUUUGGCACAGGACUGGGGGAGAUUUUUAUCCAGCUUUCUAAAGCUGUAGAUGAAUAUGAGAGACUGAAUGCACUCCCUUUAUUCACCUUUUCAGAGAGUAUCGUCCAGAAUACGAGCGCCUGAGAAAAACACUGGUAAGUGUUUUUAGCUGUUUUACACCUGAACAGUGUAUCUUGGGUCACUUUUAGGCACACAAUUACCUUUAUGUUGAGAGGGUCUAACAUUUCAUUUACUAGUCGUACUCACUGUGGGAAAACUCCUGUCCUGAAGGAGUCCACCAUUUGCCUUUUUUUUCCUAGAUGUGGUGGAGCAUAUCUUUACAAAAAAAAAGAUUUUGUAAAACAGAUGUUGCUCAGUGGUUUAGUGCUAAUAUUUGAGCUAAUUGUGUGAAAAUGAUUGGGAAAUAAGAUUGUGUCUUCCAUUCAGAUGGAUAGAGAGUUCUUAAAAAUAAAUUUCCAAAGGGAUUUGUUGAGACUAUCCCUGUAUCUUCCUGCACCAGUGAAGAGUACUAGUUUGACUUAGUAAGAAAGACUGAAUUGCAGUGCCAAAAUCAGUAGCUCUGCUCACCUUGAGUUGUGGCUGUCCAAAGGACAGUUCUCUGCAGGCACAGCUACACAGAGUUUGGCUUCCCGGCGCUGCUGAAAACGUCCUAGAAUCCCACCUGACUGGAGGUUGCUUUCCACGCUUAGUCAGAAGUUCUGUGAAACCUUAGUUGAAAUGUAAGACCUGCAUAGUGACUUCUGCUCUCUGACUGGGGGACAGGCUGCUGGGUUUGGGUGAGGUUUCUCUUCUCCUAAUGUUUUAAAUGUUCUCAGAAUCCACAGGUAAAUCUUUGUCUAUGGGAGAAAGCUCAAAAUAAACAAAAGAGAGAGCAGCUGGAACACUUGUGGAAGGACAUGGGCAGCGUGUGUGUGCAGGGCAGCACAGUGGCAGGACCUGAUGCUUCUGCAAUGGGUCCCUCUGAGCUAAUACUAACACGAGGAACUCUCGAUGAAGAGCAAGAAGAGAGGGAGAGUGACGCUGAUGGCAUUGACCAUGAAGGUAAGGGAAUGAGGUCUAAAAGCUGCCUCUCAAGAAAUCCCCUCUAUAUUUCAUGUCCUGCGUGGACUGUAAGGAGAGCCUAGAAAACAAGCAAACAUUCAGUCACCUGACGUGUCAGAAUCUGUAGCAGAAGCUCAGCUGCAAUGGUCAGUGCAGGGAUAUCACUCUGUAACCUUUGUGAAAGUUCAAUUGUAAAUUUUCUAUUCAAGUAAUUAAUAGGUGUAUAACACACAUAGACCAGAGAACUCGUUAGGCUUGGGGCAUGCAGUGACCUCUGAACCUGAUUGAUGCACAGAUGUGUCCAUCAUCUUUUUGGCCUUACAGUUUCUGCCCCUGGCUCUCUUCCCUUUUCCUGUGACUGUGGUCUUGGAGCAAUCUUCUAAGUUGUUACAGUGUGAUUUUUCUCUUCUAUAGCUCACAGACUUAAUCUUCAUUCUUUCCCUGUUCCACUGAUGGGUAGGAUCACUUAUUUCCUUUGCCCUGUAAUGUAGCUGAAGAUGGAAUAGACUUUCUAUGUUGCUUUGGCUA
Long non-coding RNA from Pipra filicauda (Wire-tailed manakin), 1632 nucleotides. RefSeq lists it as uncharacterized. The transcript has 4 exons. The record is from RefSeq and is a predicted model, not a curated record. Lineage: Eukaryota; Metazoa; Chordata; Aves; Passeriformes; Pipridae.